CGGGAGGCAGCAGUGGGGAAUAUUGGACAAUGGGCGAAAGCCUGAUCCAGCCAUGCCGCGUGUGUGAAGAAGGUCUUCGGAUUGUAAAGCACUUUAAGUUGGGAGGAAGGGUUGUAGAUUAAUACUCUGCAAUUUGACGUACCGAC
This 146-nucleotide ribosomal RNA is filed under the name uncultured Pseudomonas sp. RNAcentral describes it as "partial 16S ribosomal RNA". It matches the Rfam family "Bacterial small subunit ribosomal RNA", at positions 342 to 482 of the family's 1533-position model. The record is from RNAcentral. Lineage: Bacteria; Pseudomonadati; Pseudomonadota; Gammaproteobacteria; Pseudomonadales; Pseudomonadaceae.